Molecule: long non-coding RNA, 815 nt
Filed under: Homo sapiens (human)
Lineage: Eukaryota; Metazoa; Chordata; Mammalia; Primates; Hominidae
Description: HSALNT0333801
Source: RNAcentral
AGGAAGCAGCAGCCUCCGCUCCGCGGCGGGUGUGCUCGGCAGUCACAGACCCACUCAGGACACCUCCCGUUGCCGACGGGCUAGACCUGCCUUAAAGGGGUCCCCGUGUCUCUCCAGUCUAGAGCCUAAGUUCAAACGAGGCGUAUAGGCGAGGACAGCAGGAAGGCUCCAAGUCAAACAAACGGAUGGGAAGUGGUCUUGGGAAACCUGAAGACACUGGGAUAUUCAGAAGGCCAAGGGGAUCCAGCUUAUCCUGUUGGGCAAGGUGCUGGGAGUGAAGGCAGAGAUUCCACUGAUGAUUUCCAGGAACUACCAAAGCCACGGAUCAGCUGAGUUACCCGGGCUAAUAGCAGGAGGAAACAGUGUCAGAGAGGGAUCUGGCUGAUCUUCAACUCCACUAAGUUCUCCCCAAGGGUCUUGCUCCAUCACCCACGCUGGAGUGCAGUGGCACAAUCACAGCUCACUACAACCUCAACUUUCCUGGCUCAGUGAUUAUCCCACCUCAGCCUCCUGAGUAGCUGGGACUAACAGGCAUGUGCCAACAUGUCCCACUCAUUUUUUUUUUAUUUUUUGUAGAGAUGGGGUUUCACCAUGUUGUCCAGGCUGGUCUCAAACUCCUGGGCUCAAGCGAUCCUCCCUGCCUUGGCCUGUGCUGGGAUUACAGGUGUGAGCCACCGUGCUGGCCUCAGUACUAUUUUUUAUUGAUUAUAUGUUGAAAUAAUAAUAUUUUGGAUGUAGUGGUUUAAAAAAUUAUUUCAUCUGUUUCUCCUUACUUUUUAAUGUAGCUUCUAGAAAAUUUAAAAUUAUUUAAGUGG